Molecule: long non-coding RNA, 5208 nt
Filed under: Heterocephalus glaber (naked mole-rat)
Lineage: Eukaryota; Metazoa; Chordata; Mammalia; Rodentia; Bathyergidae
Description: lncRNA (ENSHGLG00000039465.1)
Source: RNAcentral
CCCGGCCCGAGGACAGCGGCCCAGCUCCCAGGCCCGGCUGGGUGUUUCCAGCCUUCCGAGCUGGCGGUCAGGGCUGGGCCUGCAGCUCCCAGCCAGAGGCGAUUCCCGGGGAGACCCGCGGAGGGUCGGCCCGCAGCUGGGGAAGGAGAGGUGGGGAAGGCACCAUGGCGCCCACUGCUGGGCACAUGCAGCCCGAAGAGGGCCGAAAGGUGAAGGAAGGAGACUCGAGGAGGACAGAAGGAACGGCCGGCCGGCGAAGUGCGACCGGGUCGCUGCUCCCAGCAGCCGCUCCUGGGAACUGGUCAGGACUCACGUUCUCAGCCACCCAGACCUGCGAGCCCUCUGCAGACUGCAAGCUGCGUUUGAGAGCCGCGUUCUCAUCAUCCCGGUUGCAGGACUAGUUAAAGACUUGGUUGAGGGGCCCUCAUGACAGCCACAGGUCAGACUGUCCUGGCUCCCUCUUCGCAGCUCUGACCAGAACUCUGGGCCACGUAAGAGAGCACCCGGCACCAACAACACACCGAGCCCACGAUAAUAACCAGAAGGGUCCAGCGUCCUGCUUCCUCUAGAGAAGGGAAUCACAAGCCGAAGAUUCCUCUCGGCCCUGGCUGUUCUCUUCAGUUCUUGCCAGCGAGAUCCUCUCAGGUAGGAAGGAGGUCCAGGGCGGAGGAAAACGCACGGACUGAGGCCUGGGUGAUGUGUGCUCCUCAAAGGCGCCAGCCAGAGGAAUUGUGGAAAACCAGAAAUACGCAUCAGCGUGACAUCCUGCUCUCUACUAGAAAUCAUAACACAUCUUUGUGAGACCGUGUGGGAGGGGCAGGCUUUGCAACUGGAGCGGCUGAAGGCUCACAUGGGAAUGCAGUGGGCUGGAAGCCACAGGUUGGAUGCAGGGGACUUUGGAACAUCGGUUUUCCCUUUGGUAAGAAUGUUAAAACACUGUAAAAGUAAACAUAUAUUAAUGUAUGAAGUAAAACUUUUGCUAAUCUUUAAAAACUUUAAAAAAUUUUAUUAGUGCAUGCUUCCAGUACGUAAUGAUUGCAUUCCUUGUGAGGAGCUGGUAAUGCACAUAGCGGAUCUUAAAUUCUUUUUUCAUCUCCUUUCCCUCUCCUCCCUCCUUCCAUUGCUUGAUUCCCAAAAUAUAAGGAGCAAAAUAAAAGACAUAAUAGGAAAUAGGGAGAUGGAUCUUUUGCAAAAGAAAAUUUUGCUCCUCAUCUUUAAGAUGAAAUGUUUGACUUAGGGGAAAUGCUGAGCCGUGGGGGACCUUAUGGUCAUGGCUCUGGGUCCUGGGAGAGGUUCUGUCCCUUCUCAGGUGUGGACACAGAUGCUUGAGUGGAAAGAGUGAGAAAGCUUGCUCUGGCCAUGGUGGCCCUGGAAGGGAAGGAGAGAGGGAGAGUUAUGGAAGGCUGUAACUGUGCAACGGACUCAGGGAGAGAUGUUGCUAGGCCAAGCCCAUGAAGACACCCUCAGGAGCUUCCAAAUGGGGACAGGACUGUGUACCCAUCCACCCACCCAUCCAGCUGUCACUGGGUAGAGGGGGCAGUUGCCUUGUGUGAGAUGGAAGCCAUACACAAGACUAGCUCUAAAACGGAAGUAAAAUGAAACUUUAUUAUAGGAAAGAAACACGUAGCCAGGCUUGGUGGUGCACGCCAGUAGUCCCAGCAUUCUGGGAGACUGAGGCAGGAGGAUCCCAAGUUCAAACUCAGCCCAGGCAACUUAUCAAUUUAGCAACUUAGCAAUACCCUGUCUCAAGAUAAAAAUAUAAAAAUAGGCCAGGGUUGUAACUCAGUGUGAGGGCUCUGAGUUUAAUCCUCAGUACAUGAAAGAAAGGAAAGAAGGAAGGACAGAAGGAAGGAAAAAAAGUGAGUGGAUGAAUGACCGAGCUGGCUGCUCCACAGACAGAGCAGUCUGAUGGGGUCCGAUCAAUGGCCACACAUCCUGCUUCCUUAUCUCAGGGAGCACAGGGGCUUGCUCCUUGGGUUAACCAUUUGCUUUCUUUCCCCUUUUUAUCUCCAAAAUUUCAGCUGCCCAUUUGUGUUUUACCAGGGUGCUUCGAAGUCCCACUGGUGUCCCGUCUCCCGUCCAUCCAUCCGUCCAUCCAUCUUAUAAAUGCCUCCUAUCAGAAGUAGUAAUAGAUGAAGAUGAUAAUGGUGGAAACACCCUGUUCUCAAGGACUCUCGUGUUUUAGUGUAGGAGUCCCUGAAGUUCUUCCUGCCCCAAAAUAUAUAAAUGAAAAGCGUUUGCUCUGUCUCGGCAGUGCCAGACGCUGUCCCAAGUGUGUGCAUAAAGUGACUCAUUCGAUCCUCAUGGUAGCUCUGUGGAUGCAGACACCACUGUUGUCUGCGCUGCCUGGCUGGGGAGCAGGGGAGCAUCCCCAGCUGAGUCGUCGUCUGGUGAGACGAUGUGUUUAUAAAAACCCUGACACAAGGGCGUGUGGGACACAAGCGCCAUGGGGCUGAUUCUUUCCAAGGAAGUGGAGACCCUGAUUCCAGAUGCAAGACUGACAGGGGAUGGGACCCCAGCGUGGACACUGCUUCCCUUUCCUACUUAUUGUCACAGUCACAGAAUCUGACCAGUUGUGGACAAGUUCGAGAGGAAGCACUGGCACCGUGAGAGGCAGGGAACUUUUAUGUGCCUGAAAUGACCUGAUAAUUUCUGAAAACCAGCCCUGCCUCCGUCUCUCCCACAGUACCCACCCCACCCCAGCUUUAUUGACAUGUAACUGACAGAUAAAAAUGAUGGGGUGGUGGUUGUAAACCAGUGCAACCACUGGUACAGAGCACAGCGUGUGAUUCUGCCUAGCUCUGCUCCUAGGACCUGUGCAGGGGGUGUUACAGGCAUUAUAGGGGGAAGUUACAGGGGAUCCUGGUUCAAUGAGUUUGGUCAAUGAACUUUAACAAAAGGUUCCUUAGAGGGUUUUCUCAGAAUCUUUUUUAUGCUCAUGUGUUUUGUAAAUCUCAGAGGGGAACUGCCUUUCAGUGGUUUCCAAAUUUAUUUACCCACUCCACCCCUCUACCACCACCCCCAUAGCAAUCCUCCUGCCUCAGCCUCCCUAGUGCUGGGAUUACAGGCAUGAGCCGGCCUCCACUAAAGUCUUGCUAGCUGCAUUUUAACCCUCCAAUGGAAACCUCUGGGAAGGGAGGCCCCAGUGUACAGUUAGAAGAGCCCACUCCUCCUGCUGGGGUGUCUUUUCAAAUGCUGUGUCUACCUAGGGAUGGGCGUCCCCACCCAUACUUUCCUGUCUCUUUUCUUCUUCCCACCUUCCUCUCUGGGGCCCUUCCCUGGGCAGCUCCAGGUUCCCCAGGUCCUCCUACCUUGUGGGCUUCAGAACCAAGAACAGCACCUGCCUCUUUUUUAAUUUUGAGACCUGGUCUCGCUAUGUUGCCCAGCCUGGCUUUAAAUUUGCAGCCCUCCUGCCUCAGCUUCCUGAGUAGCUGGAAUUGCAGACACAAACCACCAUGCCUGGGAAUAAGCACACAUUUGAGAGCCUAUUAUGUGCAAGGUGCGGCAGAGGGCAGGAGAGAUGAGCAUUUGGGACUUUCACUCAAAGAGCUGAUCACUGACUGAGGAAGAGCUCACAGGUACAAGGCAGCAUCCAGAUCCCGCGCAGUGCGGUGCAGUGCAGUGCACACUCGGAGGACUGACAGGCUUCAGCAGCUUGGCAAGGAACCAAAGGUUGAUUGCAGGAUGCUUUUCCCAGUGCUGUUUAAUGAACUUAGGGACGUGUUUUCUGGAAGAAGGCAGUGUUUGUUCCAAGUCAGAAGUUGCAGCCUGACCUGGAGCCUCGAUCUGCAAAAGUCAUGUGCUUUGCUGCCAGAAGGGGAGAGAGAAUACCGUGGUACAUGGUAUCACCCAGACUAGGCUAAGAAAUACAAAUGCUUUGUCCUCAAGCAGCACCCACAAUGGAAGUGGGGCAGUGGGGCCGCUGAGGGCACAGUGUGGAGGGACAGCACCUCCUUCCAUCCCUGUCCCCCUUGGUGAACUAGAGCCACUGCUGAGCACUUAACUUCUGCGUGCCUUGGUUUUCUCUCUUUCUAAUGUGGGGAUAUGAAGUAGUGCUUGUGUCAUAGCUUGGCAUGAGUGUUUCGCAUGUGAAACACUUAGAAUAUUUCGAGUUUCUCUUUUGGUUAUUUCUUUUUUUAUUGCUGUGCAACAAAUUACUCCAACAGGGCCUGGGAUUUACCUCAGUGGUUUCGCCACCUGCCUCGAAAGUGCAAGGACCCAAGUUCGAUCCCCGGUACUGAAAAAAAAACCCCGAACAAACAAAAAACCAAAUUACUCCAACACUUAGUGGUCUACAAUGAGAAUUAUUAUUUAUUGCUGGGCAUGGUGGCACACACCUGAAAUUCCAGGCCUUGGAAGGCUGAGGCAGGAGGACCACAGGGAGUGUGAAGCCAGCCUAGGCAACAUAGUCAGUUCAAGGCCAGCUUUGACUGCAAAAUAAGACCCCAUGUCAACAAAAAAUCAUUUAUUAUCUCUGCUUUCAGAGGGUCUGGAAUUUGGAAGCAGCUUAGCUGGGUGACUGGGGCUCAGGAUUUCUCAUGAAGUUGUGGUCAGAUAUGUGCUGGUGUGGAGGCUCCUGAGGUGUCACUGUCCCUUGUUUGUCCCACUCUUUGCGGUGUGGGCGGGGACUCCACCAGGGCACGGUCUGAGGAGGUGGCUCCCUGAGGAGGGGAUCACACAGGGCUGGCUACAUCCAGGCCAGGAAGCGCUAUGCCCUGUUUAUGACCAGUGUGAGGUGAAGGACACUUAGCUAAGAGCAGUGUGAGCGCCUGCAUCCACUCAGACCUCAGCAGGGUUUCCGGAGAGAGUUUGAUGAUGUGAGUCUUUCUCCGAGUCACACACCAGCCCUCGUGGCCUGGGCUUUCCAGAGGAAAGGGCUGAAAGCAGGACGAGGCCCAGGGAAACAGGAGGAAGGAGGGCACGGGAAGCAGGUUGGAGAAGCCAGCAGGAGGGCACGUGGUGCAGGCUGCUGCUCUGGCCUUGUAGGAAGGGACAGAAUGGUCCCAGCUUUGUCUUCCUCCCGAAGGCCGCUCAUCUGCCCACUGGCUGAGGUCCCCUGGGGCUGCCACCCUUGGCUCCCCCUGACUCACACAGCUGGGUGGGGCCAGAGGAGGGCUGGGGGCCUGGGGGACACAGUGGCUUGGCGCCUGGGUUUGUAGGAGCUGGGGCUGCUGGCCGUGGAGUCCCUUCCUGCAGAAGCCAUGCGGG